This 200-nucleotide ribosomal RNA is filed under the name uncultured bacterium. RNAcentral describes it as "partial 16S ribosomal RNA". It matches the Rfam family "Bacterial small subunit ribosomal RNA", at positions 29 to 228 of the family's 1533-position model. The record is from RNAcentral.
AACGAACGUUAGCGGCGCGCCUAAGACAUGCAAGUCGAGCGAGAAAGGGCUUCGGCCCCGGUACAGCGGCGCACGGGUGAGUAACACGUAGGUCAUCAACCCUCGAGUGGUGGAUAACCCUCCGAAAGGAGGGCUAAUACAGCAUGAUGUUAGCAAUAACCAAAGCGGGUCUCUUCAUGAAAGCUCGCGCUAGAGGAUGA